AUGGCCGCUGGUCUCUCGGGCUCCACCAUGGCCAGCUUCGCCGUCAAGAACCCUCUGCUCGCCGCGGCCGCGCGCUUCCGGACGCUGCCUUCCCGCGCCGGCCGGCCUCUGCCGUUCUCCCCGUUCACGCGGACGGCGCGCAGGCGCGGGCAAGAGACCGUCACGUGCUUCGUCCCGCAGGAGGGCCAGGCGCCCGGCCCGGCUCCCGAGCCCGUGCCUUCGCUGGAGGAAGAGGCGGCGUCCGCGGCGGCGCGCCGCGUGGCGGAGAGGAAGGCGCGGAAGCAGUCCGAGAGGCGCACGUACCUGGUGGCCGCCGUCAUGUCCAGCCUCGGCGUCACCUCCAUGGCCAUCGCCUCCGUGUACUACCGCUUCGCCUGGCAAAUGGAGGGCGGCGAGGUGCCGAUGACCGAGAUGCUGGGCACGUUCGCGCUCUCCGUCGGCGCAGCGGUCGGGAUGGAGUUCUGGGCGCAGUGGGCGCACAAGGCGCUGUGGCACGCCUCCCUGUGGCACAUGCACGAGUCGCACCACCGGCCGCGCGACGGGCCCUUCGAGCUCAACGACGUCUUCGCCAUCAUCAACGCCGGGCCGGCCAUCGCCCUCCUCGCCUACGGCUUCUUCCACCGCGGCCUCAUCCCCGGCCUCUGCUUUGGCGCGGGCCUUGGGAUUACGCUUUUCGGCAUGGCAUACAUGUUCGUGCACGACGGCCUGGUCCACCGCCGGUUCCCCGUCGGCCCCAUCGCGGACGUGCCCUACUUCCGGCGAGUGGCUGCCGCUCACAAGAUACACCACAUGGACAAGUUCGAGGGGGUACCGUAUGGGCUUUUCCUGGGACCCAAGGAGCUGGAGGACGUUGGUGGCCUCGACGAGCUGGAGCAGGAGCUCGCCAGGAUCAACCGGACUCGGAGCAUCUGA
RNAcentral lists this ribosomal RNA (912 nucleotides) under Triticum aestivum (bread wheat). RNAcentral's name for it is "partial small subunit ribosomal RNA". Lineage: Eukaryota; Viridiplantae; Streptophyta; Magnoliopsida; Poales; Poaceae. The record is from RNAcentral.